UACGUAGGGUGCGAGCGUUAAUCGGAAUUACUGGGCGUAAAGCGUGCGCAGGCGGCUUUGCAAGACAGAUGUGAAAUCCCCGGGCUCAACCUGGGAACUGCACUUGUGACUGCAAGGCUAGAGUACGGAAGAGGGGGAUGGAAUUCCGCGUGUAGCAGUGAAAUGCGUAGAUAUGCGGAGGAACACCAAUGGCGAAGGCAAUCCCCUGGGCCUGUACUGACGCUCAUGCACGAAAGCGUGGGGAGCAAACAGG
This 253-nucleotide ribosomal RNA is filed under the name uncultured bacterium. RNAcentral's name for it is "partial 16S ribosomal RNA". It matches the Rfam family "Bacterial small subunit ribosomal RNA", at positions 524 to 776 of the family's 1533-position model. The record is from RNAcentral.